UAUCUCUCCGUACGGGGAAGGAUGAGAAGCUUCGACUAAGGUUCGAUUCGAGCGAAAGCGAGAAAGCGUUGCCAACGGCAACAACCCGAAGGGCGAAGCGCGCAGCGCUGAGUAAUCCUUCCCCCGUCAUCC
Molecule: small RNA, 132 nt
Filed under: Salmonella enterica subsp. enterica serovar Give
Lineage: Bacteria; Pseudomonadati; Pseudomonadota; Gammaproteobacteria; Enterobacterales; Enterobacteriaceae
Description: RtT sRNA
Rfam family: RtT RNA
About the family: This family represents a bacterial cis-regulatory element known as RtT RNA. The exact function of RtT is unknown although it is thought that it may be involved in changing the cellular response in relation to amino acid starvation.
Source: RNAcentral